UGGGGAAACCCAGUGUGUUUCGACACACUAUCAUUAACUGAAUCCAUAGGUUAAUGAGGCGAACCGGGGGAACUGAAACAUCUAAGUACCCCGAGGAAAAGAAAUCAACCGAGAUUCCCCCAGUAGCGGCGAGCGAACGGGGAGGAGCCCAGAGCCUGAAUCAGUGUGUGUGUUAGUGGAAGCGUCUGGAAAGGCGCGCGAUACAGGGUGACAGCCCCGUACACAAAAAUGCACAUAUUGUGAGCUCGAUGAGUAGGGCGGGACACGUGGUAUCCUGUCUGAAUAUGGGGGGACCAUCCUCCAAGGCUAAAUACUCCUGACUGACCGAUAGUGAACCAGUACCGUGAGGGAAAGGCGAAAAGAACCCCGGCGAGGGGAGUGAAAAAGAACCUGAAACCGUGUACGUACAAGCAGUGGGAGCCUCUUUAUGGGGUGACUGCGUACCUUUUGUAUAAUGGGUCAGCGACUUAUAUUCUGUAGCAAGGUUAACCGAAUAGGGGAGCCGAAGGGAAACCGAGUCUUAACUGGGCGUUAAGUUGCAGGGUAUAGACCCGAAACCCGGUGAUCUAGCCAUGGGCAGGUUGAAGGUUGGGUAACACUAACUGGAGGACCGAACCGACUAAUGUUGAAAAAUUAGCGGAUGACUUGUGGCUGGGGGUGAAAGGCCAAUCAAACCGGGAGAUAGCUGGUUCUCCCCGAAAGCUAUUUAGGUAGCGCCUCGUGAAUUCAUCUCCGGGGGUAGAGCACUGUUUCGGCAAGGGGGUCAUCCCGACUUACCAACCCGAUGCAAACUGCGAAUACCGGAGAAUGUUAUCACGGGAGACACACGGCGGGUGCUAACGUCCGUCGUGAAGAGGGAAACAACCCAGACCGCCAGCUAAGGUCCCAAAGUCAUGGUUAAGUGGGAAACGAUGUGGGAAGGCCCAGACAGCCAGGAUGUUGGCUUAGAAGCAGCCAUCAUUUAAAGAAAGCGUAAUAGCUCACUGGUCGAGUCGGCCUGCGCGGAAGAUGUAACGGGGCUAAACCAUGCACCGAAGCUGCGGCAGCGACACUAUGUGUUGUUGGGUAGGGGAGCGUUCUGUAAGCCUGUGAAGGUGGCCUGUGAGGGUUGCUGGAGGUAUCAGAAGUGCGAAUGCUGACAUAAGUAACGAUAAAGCGGGUGAAAAGCCCGCUCGCCGGAAGACCAAGGGUUCCUGUCCAACGUUAAUCGGGGCAGGGUGAGUCGACCCCUAAGGCGAGGCCGAAAGGCGUAGUCGAUGGGAAACAGGUUAAUAUUCCUGUACUUGGUGUUACUGCGAAGGGGGGACGGAGAAGGCUAUGUUGGCCGGGCGACGGUUGUCCCGGUUUAAGCGUGUAGGCUGGUUUUCCAGGCAAAUCCGGAAAACCAAGGCUGAGGCGUGAUGACGAGGCACUACGGUGCUGAAGCGACAAAUGCCCUGCUUCCAGGAAAAGCCUCUAAGCAUCAGGUAACAUCAAAUCGUACCCCAAACCGACACAGGUGGUCAGGUAGAGAAUACCAAGGCGCUUGAGAGAACUCGGGUGAAGGAACUAGGCAAAAUGGUGCCGUAACUUCGGGAGAAGGCACGCUGAUAUGUAGGUGAAGCGACUUGCUCGUGGAGCUGAAAUCAGUCGAAGAUACCAGCUGGCUGCAACUGUUUAUUAAAAACACAGCACUGUGCAAACACGAAA
Molecule: ribosomal RNA, 1689 nt
Filed under: Escherichia coli
Lineage: Bacteria; Pseudomonadati; Pseudomonadota; Gammaproteobacteria; Enterobacterales; Enterobacteriaceae
Description: partial 23S ribosomal RNA
Rfam family: Bacterial large subunit ribosomal RNA
Source: RNAcentral